GAUGAACGCUAGCUACAGGCUUAACACAUGCAAGUCGAGGGGCAGCAUGAUUGAAGCUUGCUUCAAUCGAUUGCGACCGGCGCACGGGUGAGUAACACGUAUCCAACCUUCCGAUAACUCGGGGAUAGCCUUUCGAAAGAAAGAUUAAUACCCGAUAGUAUAGUAUUUCCGCAUGGUUUCACUAUUAAAGAACUUCGGUUAUCGAUGGGGAUGCGUUCCAUUAGAUAGUUGGCGGGGUAACGGCCCACCAAGUCAACGAUGAAUAGGGGUUCUGAGAGGAAGGUCCCCCACAUUGGAACUGAGACACGGUCCAAACUCGUACGGGAGGCAGCAGUGAGGAAUAUUGGUCAAUGGACGAGAGUCUGAACCAGCCAAGUAGCGUGAAGGAUGACUGCCCUAUGGGUUGUAAACUUCUUUUAUACGGGAAUAAAGUGGAGUAUGCAUACUCCUUUGUAUGUACCGUAUGAAUAAGGAACGGCUAACUCCGUG
Molecule: ribosomal RNA, 489 nt
Filed under: uncultured bacterium
Lineage: Bacteria
Description: partial 16S ribosomal RNA
Rfam family: Bacterial small subunit ribosomal RNA
Source: RNAcentral